This 455-nucleotide ribosomal RNA is filed under the name uncultured bacterium. RNAcentral's name for it is "bacterial SSU rRNA". It matches the Rfam family "Bacterial small subunit ribosomal RNA", at positions 340 to 786 of the family's 1533-position model. The record is from RNAcentral.
UACGGGAGGCAGCAGUGGGGAAUAUUGCACAAUGGGCGAAAGCCUGAUGCAGCUAUGCCGCGUGUAUGAAGAAGGCCUUAGGGUUGUAAAGUACUUUCAUCGGGGAGGAAAAACAAAACUAAUAAUUUUAUUUCUUGACGUUACCCGAAAAAGAAGCACCGGCUAACUCCGUGCCAGCAGCCGCGGUAAUACGGAGGGUGCUAGCGUUAAUCAGAAUUACUGGGCGUAAAGAGCACGUAGGUGGUUUUUUUAAAGUCAGAUGUGAAAUCCCUGGGCUUAACCUAGGAACUGCAUUUUGAAACUGAAAUACUAGAGUAUCGUAGAGGGAGGUAGAAUUCUAGGUGUAGCGGUGAAAUGCGUAGAUAUCUGGAGGAAUACCUGUGGCGAAAGCGGCCUCCUAAACGAAUACUGCACUGAGGUGCGAAAGCGUGGGGAGCAAACAGGGAUUAGAUACC